AGUGAUCGCUGGCGGUAGGCCUAACACAUGCAAGUCGAACGGCAGCACAGUAAGAGCUUGCUCUUACGGGUGGCGAGUGGCAGACGGGUGAGGAAUACAUCGGAAUCUACUUUUUCGUGGGGGAUAACGUAGGGAAACUUACGCUAAUACCGCAUACGACCUACGGGUGAAAGCAGGGGAUCUUCGGACCUUGCGCGAUUGAAUGAGCCGAUGUCGGAUUAGCUAGUUGGCGGGGUAAAGGCCCACCAAGGCGACGAUCCGUAGCUGGUCUGAGAGGAUGAUCAGCCACACUGGAACUGAGACACGGUCCAGACUCCUACGGGAGGCAGCAGUGGGGAAUAUUGGACAAUGGGCGCAAGCCUGAUCCAGCCAUACCGCGUGGGUGAAGAAGGCCUUCGGGUUGUAAAGCCCUUUUGUUGGGAAAGAAAAGCAGCAGGUUAAUACCCCGCUGUUCUGACGGUACCCAAAGAAUAAGCACCGGCUAACUUCGU
Molecule: ribosomal RNA, 491 nt
Filed under: uncultured bacterium
Lineage: Bacteria
Description: partial 16S ribosomal RNA
Rfam family: Bacterial small subunit ribosomal RNA
Source: RNAcentral